Molecule: ribosomal RNA, 238 nt
Filed under: uncultured bacterium
Lineage: Bacteria
Description: partial 16S ribosomal RNA
Rfam family: Bacterial small subunit ribosomal RNA
Source: RNAcentral
CGGGUGAGUAAUACAUAAGUAACCUGCCCUAGACAGGGGGAUAACUAUUGGAAACGAUAGCUAAGACCGCAUAGGUACGGACACCGCAUGGUGACCGUAUUAAAAGUGCCUCAAAGCACUGGUAGAGGAUGGACUUAUGGCGCAUUAGCUGGUUGGCGGGGUAACGGCCCACCAAGGCGACGAUGCGUAGCCGACCUGAGAGGGUGACCGGCCACACUGGGACUGAGACACGGCCCAG